RNAcentral lists this ribosomal RNA (676 nucleotides) under Bacillus subtilis. Its description in RNAcentral is "bacterial SSU rRNA". It matches the Rfam family "Bacterial small subunit ribosomal RNA", at positions 565 to 1238 of the family's 1533-position model. Lineage: Bacteria; Bacillati; Bacillota; Bacilli; Caryophanales; Bacillaceae. The record is from RNAcentral.
GGGCUUCGCAGGCGGUUUUUUAAGUUCUGAAUGUGAAAGCCCCCGGCUCAACCGGGGAGGGUCAUUGGAAACUGGGGAACUUGAGUGCAGAAGAGGAGAGUGGAAUUCCACGUGUAGCGGUGAAAUGCGUAGAGAUGUGGAGGAACACCAGUGGCGAAGGCGACUCUCUGGUCUGUAACUGACGCUGAGGAGCGAAAGCGUGGGGAGCGAACAGGAUUAGAUACCCUGGUAGUCCACGCCGUAAACGAUGAGUGCUAAGUGUUAGGGGGUUUCCGCCCCUUAGUGCUGCAGCUAACGCAUUAAGCACUCCGCCUGGGGAGUACGGUCGCAAGACUGAAACUCAAAGGAAUUGACGGGGGCCCGCACAAGCGGUGGAGCAUGUGGUUUAAUUCGAAGCAACGCGAAGAACCUUACCAGGUCUUGACAUCCUCUGACAAUCCUAGAGAUAGGACGUCCCCUUCGGGGGCAGAGUGACAGGUGGUGCAUGGUUGUCGUCAGCUCGUGUCGUGAGAUGUUGGGUUAAGUCCCGCAACGAGCGCAACCCUUGAUCUUAGUUGCCAGCAUUCAGUUGGGCACUCUAAGGUGACUGCCGGUGACAAACCGGAGGAAGGUGGGGAUGACGUCAAAUCAUCAUGCCCCUUAUGACCUGGGCUACACACGUGCUACAAUGGACAGA